AUGCAGCACCGGUGUGACAAUCUCGCCGCCGGAGUGCCUGUGGCAGCUGCCCCCAAGUCCGGCUGCCGCCCGCCCUUGCCCUUUGUCGCCUCAAGCCGCGGCUGCCCUGGUCUUCCCCGGCGCCUACUCUCCGUCUGGACGAGUGCAACGCAUCCUCCCGAGCCCGCCGGUGCCUCCCGCCCGGUCGGCCCGUUGCGGCAACGCCCCUCCGCUGCUCCCUCCUAUGUUCCUGUGUGUGGCAGGGCGAGGAAGAAGACGAAGGUGAGCCAGGCAGGCCCGUGUCGCCUCAAACCCACCUGUAAGCGACCAGAAGCACGACCAAGUCAGCAUCAACUUAAGGUUCUAGGAAUAAUCAAUAGUAAAGUUGGCGGUGUAGAAAAACCAGGAUCAUAUGUAUACGUUCAAUUUCAGACCACAACAUGGCCUACAAGGAGGGAAUUAGCUAGGCAACGGAAGAAGCCUGAAAGAAAUAAAAAAGUGAUAGCAGCAUACUGGUUAAGAGUAGAGGCUUCAGAAGAUGUUGCAGAGGUGUGGAAGAAGUUAGGCAACUUCAGGAGCAUAGCAACACAAUGGGAUGGGAAGGUGCUGCACCUGCGUGCAUCUGCAUCAGGGAGGGAGGGUGUGAGUGAGGGGAGCCGCCAAAUCCAAAACAAUCAAGAGUCCAGUUGGGAGAGGAGAAGAGGGACCUUGACGACAUCCAGGCAUUCCAUGGCGGCUGCGGCGACUCCAUGGCCAUGGGAAAGAGGCGCACGGACCUGGCCUUCCGUGGCUGCAUGCUGGGGCGAGGUGGAUUGGAUCCGGCUGGGAGCAGAGGAGAGAAGGCGUCCCAUCCCAAGAGAAGAGGAGAGAGACUCGCUCCGGCGGAGUGGCGGAGUGGCGGAGGCCAAGCUGCGGCGGGGCGGCUUCGGCGGCAGGGGAGGCUCCCGACGAGCCGCGGCGGGAGCGGGGCGGGCUCCCGCGGUCGGGGAGGCUCCUGGCGACCCGCGGCCGCUUCCCGUGGCUCCGGCGGCGCGAGGAGGCGGUGAAGGGCGCGGCUGCGGGAGGCGAACGGCGCGGCUGCGGGAGGAGGAGGAGGAGGUCGUGCGGGCGGGCGGUUUACUUUCUGUUUUACUGCGGGGCAUAGUAGCGAUCGCACUGUGGCUUGUUGCGUGGUUGAUAGCAUCGAGAAAAACGGCGCCGCCGCUCCUCGCUUCUCCUCCUUCUGUGCACUUCCCCCUGAUCCACCCGAGUCGACCCUGCCUCCAGUCAUCGCUCGCGCUCCUGCAAGCCGUCGCCGACCUCCUCAGCCGGUCAACCGCGCCCAACACCCUCCUUCAUUUUCUCCCCCUCUCCCCACUAAUCUCUCUCUGUUCCCAAACUACAGGACGCCAUGGCCACCGGGGGCAGGGGGACGCGGCCGCGAUGGCCCCGAGCUCGGCGGCAUGGAAGCCAUUGGAGGCACUCGCGAGGCCGAUGUCGGUGAGCCUGGCAGCGGCGGUCGGGUGCAUUGAGCGCAGGGAACAGACGGAUCCCCGAUGCUCUGCACCGCCAUCGUUGCCACCGGAUUCGGCAGGGAACAGACGGACCCGUGGAGCCCGCAUCGUAUCCGCCGUCCCAGCUUCCCGUUGCUCCACCGGCGUCCUGGUCCGUCCUGGUCUUCGUCACCAGCCAAGAUCCCUUAGCACCGCCGCCCCGAACGAUCUCCAGCCGCCUCCACGCGCACGGGAUCGAGCGAGGCCGCGCCUGCGUCCCACGUCCGCUUCAUCCCAUGGGUCGUUAGCCUUCGCCUCGGCCCAGCUGCCUCGCGUCCAGCCUACAGCCGCCCUAAGCAACCGGCACAAGUGGCGGGAGCAGCUGUCAGGACCACGGGCAUGGCUGGGCAGUGACAUGUGCGUGUCCAAAUACAAUCAAUUUACCCCCCUGCCUGGUAUAGCAAAAUUAGAGUUGAAGCUCUCUGAGUAUAACAAAAAGAUGUCAUAUCUGCAACAGAUGGUUCAGGAGCUAGCCUCAAAGUCGACCAUCUCCGGCAGAGCAAAAACUUCUACCGAAUCGACAUAUAUGCUCCGCACCCAGGCAGGCGGUCCAGCAGCAGCGCAGUUGUCGUCAUCGGUGUCGAUGAGGGGCGUGCAGGCCGGUCAAAUGAGGGCACGGGCGAAGAACAACAUGACCAAGAGACUGUCCCCAUUGGGCCACAAGGUGGAGGGGAAGCAGGCGAGGGUCGAGGCGAGGGGCUGUGACAAGGUUGAUAACAUUCAAAUAUGGAAUUUUGAUAACUCAUUUAUGUGCACGAGGCCAGUAGAUGCAAAAAUGCCCGUGCGUUGCACCGGAAGAAAAGAAUUUAUCACACCACUGGCGGCAACUAAUGGAUCCCUUCCAAACAACAGGAAAUCAAAGAUCUUGGAUCUGACGAGAACUUACACUUGUUCUUCGGAACAACUGCGUCGACGAUCAAAGUCGGACACUGGUCACCAGUCAUGCACUGCCUCCGAUUCUGAAAGUGGUGAGGAUAAGCAGGCCAGACACGAAGUUUGCGGCUGUGGCCAUGAGGGCGACGAUCCUGUGCCCAUGGUGCAGCGCCGAGCUACAGAACACUCGCACGACCUUGCCGCAUCCAGCGGAGAGGGAGCACUGCUCAGACCUCACAAGGCGAAAACUACUGCUAGUGAAAUGCAGUGGAGACUGGAGACAGAUCAAUGCCCAGUGGAAGGCAUGAAUGAAGCUGCAAAAUCAGCCGAGACUGAUGCUGUCAUCUGCUCCUCCGCCGCCGCCGGGGCUUCAUUUGUGCAGGCCAUCGCAGAGGCGCGCGCGAAUUGCCGUUGGACGCUCUUCCAAGCGGCCGUCCUCUUCCUCACCGUCCGGAUUCUGGCCCUACCUCGCCGCCGCCUUGGCCUCGGCCACCAGGGACCGGUACUGGCGCACCCUCCACGCGAGGAUCCGGCGCUUCUCCGGCCUUUGGACCACGACGUGCGCAUCGUCACCGCUGCCGCUGCCGCGCCUCCUUUUGGCGCCCGGAUCCCUAUCGGCUGCGGUGCUCGGCUCGGCGUGGUCCGUGGGGCUGUCCCGCCCGCCGGCCGCUCCGCCUCUCUCAUUGCCAUGUCAAGGGCGAGCAUGCGCUUGGCGGAGCCGACGACGACCGCCCCCGCCGGUGCGCGGAGGAGGAUGGAUCCAUGUGCCCAGCCACUAUAA
RNAcentral lists this ribosomal RNA (3165 nucleotides) under Triticum aestivum (bread wheat). RNAcentral describes it as "partial small subunit ribosomal RNA". The record is from RNAcentral. Lineage: Eukaryota; Viridiplantae; Streptophyta; Magnoliopsida; Poales; Poaceae.